UACGUAGGGCGCAAGCGUUAUCCGGAAUUAUUGGGCGUAAAGAGCUCGUAGGCGGUUUGUCGCGUCUGCCGUGAAAGUCCGGGGCUCAACUCCGGAUCUGCGGUGGGUACGGGCAGACUAGAGUGAUGUAGGGGAGACUGGAAUUCCUGGUGUAGCGGUGAAAUGCGCAGAUAUCAAGCGGAACACCAGUGGCGAAGGCGAGUCCCUGGACAACUCCUGACACUGAGGCACGAAAGCUAGGGGAGCAAACAGG
RNAcentral lists this ribosomal RNA (253 nucleotides) under uncultured bacterium. Its description in RNAcentral is "partial 16S ribosomal RNA". It matches the Rfam family "Bacterial small subunit ribosomal RNA", at positions 524 to 776 of the family's 1533-position model. The record is from RNAcentral.